Molecule: long non-coding RNA, 96 nt
Organism: Sinocyclocheilus anshuiensis
Lineage: Eukaryota; Metazoa; Chordata; Actinopteri; Cypriniformes; Cyprinidae
Exons: 3
Source: RefSeq, a predicted model, not a curated record
AUAACCAGGCCCUGUCAGAACCUGAGCCAUUUUUGUGCUACAAUUCUUCAGGUAUAACCGUGUAUGCUGGAUUUGUUUGUUUAGCAUUUGUUUGAU